UUACUUUGUAUCUUAUUAGUUCUGACCCUUACCUCUCUCCAUCUGAUAUUUCUGUUUGUCUCCUUUGGAUUUAAAAGCACUAGUAUAUAUUUGUACCUAAUGCAUUCUUUUGUUCCAGUUGGUCAAACUGAAUUUGAAUCUAAACUAUCUAUUUGAAUGAGAUCAUGUCUAUUUAAGUAUAUUGUUACUAUAACGCAGUAGAUCAAUGUAAAAGAUUAUUAGUGUUCUGUAACAUAUUUGACAUAUAUUAUUAUCUAAAAUAUUCACUUUACCCUUAGUAUUAUGUAGCUUAUGAUUAAGAGUGUGAAGCCAAACUGCCUGGCCUUUGGAUCCAUGUUGGUCUCCUAUUAUUUGUAUGUCUUGUGCUUCCAUUUUCUCCUAUGUACAGUGGGAAUUGAGGAUUGCCUUCAUUAAUAGAAGUGCUUAGAACAUAGUUAAGUUAUAAUUGUACAUAAGUUUAUCUUGGACUUUGUAGUAGGCUUUUUAAAACUUAAAAAAAAAAUUGUAAAUGAAGCUCCUUAUUAACAUGUUCUUGGCAAUUUCCAAAUUUCUUAAUUACAUAAUUAUUCUCAUGGUGGUCAUAGUCUUUAAGAUAUUAUUUUGAUUUAAAUUAAAUUGCUUUUUAAUUAAACUGUAAUAUAGCUUAUCAAAAGCAGUUCUAUUAAUGUUUUCCAUCUUUGCAGCCUACCAUAUUUCAUGUCUGACACCUUGAAAAUUAUUCAUUUGAGGUCUGUAAUGUGAGUUUAAUAACAGGAAAUCUAAUUAAAUUGUUAAAUCUCUGGUUAAUGUCUAAGUGGUCACCAGGACUGCAUGACUACAGUUGUCAUGUGAAUUGCAGGUGUGAACUAGCUGCUGCUGUUGAAAUCAGGUGCUUUCCCACUUUGAUUUCUACCUCCCUGGGAAAGAAAACUGAGGAACAUUAUCAAAGUCAGUAAACAGUGUUAACUUAAAAAAGUUUAAUGGAGAGUAUCUUAUAAUACUGUAGACUAAUAGUGGGUCAGGAAUUUUAACCUACAAGGUAGUAGGAAUUCUAUCUGUCUUAGUCACUGCUUUGUCCUCAGCACCUAGCACAAAACCUAUAUAAUGGACAUGUGAUAUGUGGUAAAAUUAAUUGACUUUCUAAAAUACAUCUUUCUACUCAUCUGAGAGAGUUCUCACUGAUUAUUACACCCUUGAAUUCACUGUAGUACUUGUGAUCUGUCUCAUUUAUUGAACAUUCAGCAUUAUAUAUCAUGUAAAGAUAUUUUAUAUAUAUAAAGUCCUGUUUCUCUAGUUACUGAGGCAACAAAUCAUUGAAACGGUACAGAAUCCCAAAUUACCCACAUCUUACCCAUUCUGAUUUGCCUCUCUUGGGUGGGUGGAUAAUGGUGGGGGCAUACAAAUGGAUCCCCUCUCCUCCCACACCUAACAUCAUUCCAUUGUGAACUAAUGCUGGUGAAGGUUGGGUGAACCAAUGUUCUGGUUAGUAACAACAUUAAGAAGAAAUGGUUUAGGAGCACUAAUAUGUAAAGACUAUUGAAUUAAGAGGCUGGUAAUUAGGAUUCUCAUUCCAUAACUGUCAGCUUCACAGGAGAUCUUGAGCAAGUCAUGUUUCACUAUACUUUUGAUAAACAUGUAUCUUCAUCUUUGAAAUGAGAAGUUGGAUGGGUAAUGCACAAAGCCUGUAGACAUAAGGUUAUGUCUCUUUACUUUUUAGCCCAGUACCUUAUUCAUUAUAUGCUCUAGGGGGAAAAUGUGUUUUUGUUGAUAUGAAUAAACAAAAAAAACCUGGCAAAGUGUAUCCUAUUAAAUGUUUGCCUUUUGGGCAUAUCUAGAAAUAGGAGGUUAGUUUAUAUACUCAGGGACUAUUCCAAAAAUGAACAACCUAUACCCUUCAUCCCAUUCUUAGUUUUGUUUCCCUUACUUUUAAAUGGUUUUAAGAAAAGUCAUGACCAUCAAUGUCUUUGACGUAAAAGAUUGUAUUGUAGAGAAUGAGUACAGUGAGGAACAAGAUUUCCAGAUUCAUUUGCUUCCUAGAAACCAUUUUUAAUGCCUUCUAAUUGUAUUUCAGACUCAGGUAAUGAGUAUCAUCAUCACAAAAGCUAGUAAGGCAUGCGUUUGUCACUAUGCUUAGUGCUUUUCAUCCUUCUCAUUUAAUCCUCACACAACUCUAUGAAGCAUAAACAGUUAUUAUCCUCAUUUUGUAGAUCAAGGAAACUGAGGUUUUAGAGACAUUAAGUAACGUUAGCUAACUAGGUCAUAAUACCUAUAAGUGAAUGAGCAAGUUUUAUUUGAACACAGUCGUAGUCAUUCAUUUAUGUAUUGUCUUUAACUGCUCUUCAGCUGCAAUAGUAAAGUUAAAGAGUUGUAAUAGAGACCAUAUGGCCCCCAAAGUCUAGAAAUAUUUUGUUUUUGGCCAUUUGCAGAAAAUAGUUAUUGACCCAUGGUCCAAACCAUUACACACACACACUGUCUGAAUACCAACACCCUUUCCUCUGUGACGUUUUCUAAAUCCAAAAUAUUCUUUAUUCAGACAUCGUGUAGGGCCUGUGCUUAAGAAAUAUGCUUCUCAACUGAUAAUUUAAAGUUCACAAUGUAAGCACUAACAUCACUGGAGCACUGACCUAGCUUUCUUUUACUGUGUCCCAAUUCUUCUUUCUGCCCUUAUCGCCAGGCUUGCUAGAUCCUUUCUCUCAUCUAUAACCUGACUCAUGCUGUUCCCUUUCUCAUACUUACUGCUGUCAAGAACUGGGAUCUAGCCUUCAAAAUAUAGUUUAAACAUUAACUCUUUCUCGGUCCCUUUUCUUAUUUUCCUUUCCCACCUCCAUCUCCCACCCCCUACUGGAUACACUUUCUCUCUUCCUUUUAACUCCCACAAUGAUUUAUUCCUUUCUUACAGCUUUUAUAGUACUGUUUUGUAUUUUUUGUGUUGCAUUCCAUCACACGCUAUUGUUGCUGGCACUGGUGGCUGGUCUGGGGAUCAGUAGUUAAAUAAGGCCUGUCCUUGUACUCAGACUGUUAAUAUUUUAUCAAACUUAAUAUUUUAUCCUGGAUUAUAAGCACCUACAUGGGAAAAAACAUCCAGUUCCACUCAUCUUUUAAUGUGCUCAAUAAACAUUGGUGAGUUUGAACUAUACAUUUGGAUGUCUUAUAAAUUGUUCUCCAAAUCAUGUUUUAACUUUUCUGUAAAUCACUUUUAUUUGGCUACUUGUUAUGCCUUUUAUUAUAAUUAAUUCCCUGUAACUAGAAAUCUGGAGAAAGGAAAUUGUAGUAGAAUGAUUAACAAUCUCAUAUUCUGAUGUGUUGGUAAAAUACAACCAAUGUUUUUCUAAUUUGGAGCUUAUCCUGAGUUUAUUAAUGGAUAAACUUAAGUAUAUCCCAGUGUACUUAAGAUGAUGAUUUCAUAACGUUAGAGCUGUUUUCCAAAGUGUAUGUUAUUUGUUCUAAACUCUUUUUUAAGGAUAUAGAGGCCUAGAAGUUAAUAAAACAAGACCAAGAUCAAUCACAUAGCUCUUAACUGAUAGAGCCCGAGUUCCUAAAUUUCAAGUGCAGUAUUUUUUAUACUAUGCUGCUAGUAGAUCUUAAUCAUUAGGUCAGCACUGUCCAAUAUGGUAGCCACAUGUGUCUGUAUAGCACUUGAAAUGUGUCUUGUGCAAAUUAAAAUGUGCUGUAAGUGUAAAAUAUUCCCUGUAUUUCAAAGACUUGGUGUUAAUAUCUAAGUUUUUAUAUUGAUUAUGUAUUGGGGUAGGAAAAGAGGAUUGAAAUAAAUUCUACCUCUUUCUUUCUUUCUUUUUUUUUUUUUUUUUCUACUAUUUCUUUAGUCAUUUGUUAAAGUGGCUACUAGAAAGCUUAAAGUUAUACUGGGGCACCUGGCUGGCUCAGUCAGAAGAACAUGCAGCUGUUGAUCUCGGGCUCAUGAGUUCAAGCCCUGCAUUGGGUGUAAAGAUUACUUAAAUAAACAAACUGAAAAUUUUAGAAUAUAUGUGAUUCAACCAGAUAACCUGUUUAUAUGCUUGCAUCACUAUCCUAUUGGAGUGACUAUAAACAUGAGCUAGUAAAAAAGGAAGAAUAAUCCAAAACUCACAUCAGCUCCAAUGUUUUGUCAAUGUUGGCUUCUUAAAGGAGUGUGAAUAUUGCUUAGGUGAUUAGAUUCAGGAAAAUCUGGAAUGAUAAAAUAGUGUUCAUUAGCUACUACAGAAAAUCCAUGUUUAGUCCCCAGAAAAUAUAGAACUUCAUUCAUAUGCUCAGAAGUUUUUGUUUCAUAGCCAGAUUCAGAAGGUGCUUUCAAUGAGAAAAUUCAUCUGUGGAAAAUAAAAAGAGGAUGAUACAGGAAGUGAUAUACCAACCAUAUGCAUCCAUUUACAUUUCUGCCAUAUGGACUGGGCUUGAGCCCUCUUGGUUAAGGGUCAAAAGUUAUAAGAACUACUGAAGUUCUGUCUUUCAGAUCAGAGGCACAAUAUACCUACCAGGAUUCAAAGUGUGACAGACUUGUUGAACAGGUACUUUUCUCUCUCUCUCCAUGGAACCCGGUUUAGGCACCAAGAAGGAAGGAAGCUCUGAAAACAUGGACAGCAAAAAUCAAUGAUGAUUUAAAGAAAAAGAAAAAGAAUGAUGAGACUUCCCUGAAUGGCCUUUCAGGCGUAAGAUUUGGAAAAGUAGGAUCUAGAGCAGGAGAGAAAUAAUCUGUUCUGAGGUAGAAAAGAGUGCAUCAAGGAACUAGAAGAAUCAGCUAGGGCAGAGUGAGGACAUGAAUUCCAGGAAAUGAGACGUAGGGGGUAGACAAGAGUCAUUAUGCAGAGCCUUGUAGCUUGAGGUAAGCAUGGGUGUAGUGGACAAUCAGGCAGGAUUAUCUACAGAAGUCUUAUAUGGGAGGCUUAUAGAUAGAUAUACGCAGGAAAUGUAUAUUAUUUUCUUUUGUAUCUCUUAUAUAUAAAUACAAAAAGGAAAUGUUCAUUCAACUUGGUCAAUUAAAUACUUUGCUAUUCUGAAAGCUAUCAUAAUAGUUGAGAACUUGUUAAUUAAACUCCAUUAUAUUUGCCUUAUUUUAGAUACUUCCUAAUGUACCUAUAGGACAUUCAGAAUUAUUAAUGUAGGUAUAAUUUCACUAACCUUGAAAAAUCAAAUAUAAUGUCAUUAUAACCUGUAUCAAAUUUUAUCACUCCUUACAAUCAUUAAAGUUCUGGUGUUCAAAAAAAAUUAUAUGUGAUUUACAUUGUUUCUAUUGGACAGCACUAAUCUAUAGUAUUUAGCAGUAUACAGAAUAUACAUUGUUAUAUGAUGUGAAAAUAUUGGGGUUCGGGAACGAAUAAUCAAAGAUUCUUGAUGUCUUUGGUGCAAAAAGGUGGUUUUAUUAAAGCAGGGAAAUAGGACCCAUGGGCAGAAAUAGCUGCACUUUCAAGUUGGGAGGGGGCUCAGGAUAGCAUAAGCCUCUGAGGAAUUUGGAAACAAGAUUUCUAAGACCUUGAGGGGCUGCUGUUAGGAAAAGGUCAUUUACUAUUGUCUAGUAAAAACUUAAGCCUUGAGAGCCUUCAGACGUGUAUCAGUAGGCCUUAUGCUUGGAGGAUGAUUGCUAACAUAUAUCUUGGGGUUAUAGAGAUAAAGGAAGUUUCCAAAGAGAUUUUUACAGUAUCCUGGAGGUCGGGGUAAUGUCAAGCUAAGGCCUUUUGUUUCUAGCAAAGUAUUAACAUUAAGGCAGUUGAGUUCCUGGAGGAAGGUCACCCUGCCUGUCCCAAGUACUUGUCAGUAGGUUGUAAGUUUUAAGGAAUUUUAAUUUUUUUUCUUUUGCCUUGUUCUCCACAUCAGUAUACAGACUCUAAAUAUUUUACUUAUAUUCUAUAGUUAAUAUAAGAAGUAAGAAAACCUUAUCCAACUUUGAGGAUUUCACAUUUUAUAUUGAAGAAAUAUAGUUCUAUUCUAUACUCUUACCCAGUAUGAAGGAUAAGUGGAAAUCUUAUGUUACACAUAAUAUAAUGAUGAAAUAAAGUAGCUAAGAGAGACCAAGAGUAUACCACAAAAUCCCAUUAAUCGCCUAUUUUCAGUUUCUUAACCAAAUAAGGUAUUGUGCAGGUUCAUCUUUUUAUAUAAGAAUAUAUUUCUGAGACUAAAAGAAGCUCUCUUCUUCCUGCUUUUAAUAACUUCUAUAACUACCACCCCCCGACCCCCGCUUCUGUUUUGCUUAGGUGUCUCUUCUUACCAUACCUCACUUCUUCAAAGUUCUGUGGAAUUAGGGAGUGGGAAAGGAGAAGAGACCGAAUACUAUUCUCCCUGUGGCUUCCCCUCUUCUCCUUACCUUCCCCUUUGCCAAAUCUUACUUCUCAACCUCCCCCAACAUACACACUAAGUAAAGGAAAUAUAAAUACCCUGGGUGUCUUGGGUUUAACCCCAGGGCCUCAUCCUGAAGGUCUCCUCUUUGAGCUCAGCAAAUACUCCAGAGGAACUCUUCAAAGAUAACCUUUCUUUGUAAAAAGAGAAAAGAGUAUCUGGGGUUUCCUCUGAAAUGUAGAUGAACCUCACUUUAGUUCUUUGUGUACUGAAAAGACCCACCUUUCUCACCCAUUGUGGCUUUUGUCUUUUCCUGGUGUUUCCUGAGGUGGUUGAAGGCGGGGAGGAGAAGGAAGCUGCAUCACAGAGAGAGGAGGAGUAAGAUAGUUGUGGAAAAAUGGUCGAAGACUAGGAUCUACUACCAUUUACAUGCUAAUGAAAACCAGAAAUGGCCUUUUCCCUGUUUGAUCUGAUUUGAAACUUUGUGACUUUCCUCUGGUAGGUCAUUUUACCCCCUGUGUUUUUCUCAUUGUUGUUAGCUAUAAAAACUCUUUGAAAUUCUCAAAAUAGUGGAGGGUUUCUUUCAGGAGCAGGAGGAUAGAGGAUAAACUGUGAAACUGCAUUCUGUCUACAGUGGGUCUGUUGGAGAGGAAAAGCUGCCUCCAAAGUAAUAGAAGGUAAAACAGGGGAGGAAGUAGACAGGUCGAGCCCUUGAUUCAGGAAAAUAAGGAGGUAGGAUUUAGAAUUAUCCCAGAAGUAGACCCCAUCAGCAAAGUCUGGACUUCCACCUAACUUAAACCUUCGAAUGAGGGUCUCAACCUCACAUCCACACAUCUGUUAAAAGAUGCCUUUGUUUUGAAAGCUAGGAAUCAUGACUCCUACAGAUACAAAAGUUCUUGUUAAGGGAUUCAUUUUAUCAUGUGAUAUAAAGGAAGUAGGUAGAUGUUAUAACCAGUUCAAAAAGUCAAAACAGCACAAAGUAUGUAGAAAAAAGGAAUGCAAAUAGAGACAGAUGGAGGUUUUGUGGGGGAGGGGAGUUAAUUAAAUCACCACCAGUAGGACACAGGACAUAAUUUGCAUAUCUAUCAUACAAUUUAAAAAGAAAUAAAAUAGCCGAAAGACAAGGAAUUAAGCUGGAAUCUGUUAACCUGGAAGGGGUAGGGAGGGCAUGCUAUAGAUAAUGCCAUUUUCUACUGAAACAAUUUGUUUCCACUCUUCCCCUUUUACGAUUAAAAAAAGUAUAAAGAAAGAUUAUGAUCACAAAAUAUUGGGCUAAUAAAUGACCUGAUUAUUUAUUUAUGUGUAGCAAGAAUGCCUAAUUUGCCACAGUAGGAGAGGAAAAAUAAUUUUCCCUCUAACUUUCUAGGUUCUUGGUUGAGACUCCGCCCCCCCCCCAUAAUGAAAAGAUUAACAAAUAAGUUUAAUAACAUUUAUACCUCCUAUAUACCCAGGAACACUGAGUAAUUCCAAAAUGGCCAUUGCCACCACCUUAAGUAUUAUCUCCAGCUAAAGACAAAAGAUUGGGGGGGGGGGCGGUGCUAGGGAGAGUGAGUUUGGAGGUUAUCAGGCAAAGCACCAUAAACAAGGGUUUAAUUGUUACGCAGAUUUAAUUUCAAGACUUCUCCAUUGGUGAGUUUCCCAAGUUUUAGUCCUCCUCCUCUUCCUAGUACUGAGUGGGAGGCACCUUUACAAAUGGAGAUUUCCCUUAUAAAUGUAAAUGUACCUCACAAAAGGCCAAUUUCUUCAUUUUCAGAGAUUUUACUGCUUCUGAAAAAUAACAAGCUCAAAAUAAUCCUUAUGCCAAAAAGGCAUUUUUGGGGGCAGCAGUUCUGCUCUUUACCAUGUAAGCUUUUGUAAGUUUGCUUUGCUGUGAAAUUUUUCACAAGGAAUCUCAGAUUAGACUUUUCACAGCCAAUAACUAGCAACCAGAUUUCUUCUGUGUGAUGCCUAUUAAUUUAGGCAAAUUCUUUCUCCCUUCUCAAGGUCCCCCAAUAUCCUAGGGUCCUCAGAAUAAGGUUCUUUACUAACUUGGGGAACUUUGUAAGCCUGGUGCCAGGCCACUUUUCCUGGAAGGAGUUUGUAAGCAUUGGCCUCAUAAAGUCAACUUUAGUUCUUUUAAAGUGUCUGGUCAUAUCUGAUUAAAUGAGCAUCCUUGUCAAAUAUGUCGAUCGAGGUAAAACCUUCAUUGCAUAACCCUUGUUUACACUAAUGUUCUAAUAAAAAGGACAUAUUGAACAUGUACAAAUAACUGUAUUACCAUGAAUAUAAGAAUAUUUAAUAAGAGUUCCCAAAUUCUGUAGGGGUCAUUCAGGGAGACUCCUGUCACUUAAGAAUGAUAUAAAUUUUAGUUUACAAAACAGAGUCUACUAAAUUGUAGAUACCUCAGAAGAAAGGGAAAGGACUUCCUUAAAUGUCCAGAAAAUAGAACAUUUUAGGCCCUAUCAAUGCAUUCAGUCCUAUAUAGUUAAUUUUUGUUUCACUGGAUCAUUAAUUUAUCUGGUGCUCAACUAGAGUUCUGGAAAUGUUGACUUAGUCCACUGGUCUGGUCUUAUAAUUAUUUAUGCCAUCAGAAGCCUAAAGCCAGGAGUAACAGUCCUUCACAGAGCUCUGACUGAGGCAGUCUCUCUUUGUUGAAGACAAAGCACUCAGGCCUGUAACUGAUUUCAGGAGCUUUCAGGGAAGCAUCAGAGUAAAACAAAACAAUCUAUCCAUAAAUGAUAAAAGACUUAAGAUGGCCGUAGUUAACAUUACUGGUAAAUUUCAGAAGUGAAAUAUUUGUAACAAGGAUAAUGCAACUUAAAGUCAUACCAAAAAUGUUGUAGACAAAAUAUCUGUAAACAAUAUUAAAGACUCUUUUCAAAGAAGA
Leopardus geoffroyi (Geoffroy's cat) is the source of this 9106-nucleotide long non-coding RNA. RefSeq lists it as uncharacterized. The record is from RefSeq and is a predicted model, not a curated record. The transcript is spliced from 2 exons. Lineage: Eukaryota; Metazoa; Chordata; Mammalia; Carnivora; Felidae.